GGUGGCUCAGUAGUAGAGUGCUUGCCUUGCAUGCAUAAAGACCUGGGUUCAAUUUCUCAGCACCA
This 65-nucleotide transfer RNA is filed under the name Dipodomys ordii (Ord's kangaroo rat). It matches the Rfam family "tRNA". Rfam says of the family: Transfer RNA (tRNA) molecules are approximately 80 nucleotides in length. Their secondary structure includes four short double-helical elements and three loops (D, anti-codon, and T loops). Further hydrogen bonds mediate the characteristic L-shaped molecular structure. tRNAs have two regions of fundamental functional importance: the anti-codon, which is responsible for specific mRNA codon recognition, and the 3' end, to which the tRNAs corresponding amino acid is attached (by aminoacyl-tRNA synthetases). tRNAs cope with the degeneracy of the genetic code in two manners: having more than one tRNA (with a specific anti-codon) for a particular amino acid; and 'wobble' base-pairing, i.e. permitting non-standard base-pairing at the 3rd anti-codon position. Lineage: Eukaryota; Metazoa; Chordata; Mammalia; Rodentia; Heteromyidae. The record is from Rfam by way of RNAcentral.